CGGAAAGUUAGUCUAAUUAAGACA
RNAcentral lists this transfer RNA (24 nucleotides) under Oriolus albiloris. RNAcentral describes it as "partial tRNA-Arg". RNAcentral also lists the same sequence under 1 other name. Lineage: Eukaryota; Metazoa; Chordata; Aves; Passeriformes; Corvidae. The record is from RNAcentral.